Molecule: ribosomal RNA, 535 nt
Filed under: bacterium enrichment culture SBR_W_B02
Lineage: Bacteria
Description: bacterial SSU rRNA
Rfam family: Bacterial small subunit ribosomal RNA
Source: RNAcentral
CCUACGGGAGGCAGCAGUGAGGAAUAUUGGACAAUGGGCGCAAGCCUGAUCCAGCCAUGCCGCGUGCAGGAAGACGCUCCUAUGGAGUGUAAACUGCUUUUAUACAGGAAGAAACACUCCUUCGUGUAGGGGCUUGACGGUACUGUAAGUUAAGGAUCGGCUAACUCCGUGCCAGCAGCCGCGGUAAUACGGAGGAUCCAAGCGUUAUCCGGAAUCAUUGGGUUUAAAGGGUCCGUAGGCGGUUUUAUAAGUCAGUGGUGAAAUCCCAUCGCUCAACGGUGAAACUGCCAUUGAUACUGUUAGACUUGAAUUAUUAGGAAGUAACUAGAAUAUGUAGUGUAGCGGUGAAAUGCUUAGAGAUUACAUGGAAUACCAAUUGCGAAGGCAGGUUACUACUAAUGGAUUGACGCUGAUGGACGAAAGCGUGGGUAGCGAACAGGAUUAGAUACCCUGGUAGUCCACGCCGUAAACGAUGGAUACUAGCUGUUGGGAGCAAUUUCAGUGGCUAAGCGAAAGUGAUAAGUUCCCACCCUGG